CCUACGGGGGGCAGCAGUGGGGAAUAUUGGGCAAUGGGCGCAAGCCUGACCCAGCAACGCCGCGUGAAGGAAGAAGGCUUUCGGGUUGUAAACUUCUUUUCUCAGGGACGAAGCAAGUGACGGUACCUGAGGAAUAAGCCACGGCUAACUACGUGCCAGCAGCCGCGGUGAUACGUAGGUGGCAAGAGUUAUCCGGAUUUACUGGGUGUAAAGGGCGUGUAGGCGGGAAAGCAAGUCAGAUGUGAAAACCAUGGGCUGAACCUGUGGCCUGCAUUUGAAACUGUUUUUCUUGAGUACUGGAGAGGCAGACGGAAUUCGUAGUGGAGCGGUGAAAUGCGUAGAUAUUAGGAGGAACACCAGUGGCGAAGGCGGUCUGCUGGACAGCAACUGACGCCGAGGCGCGAAAGCGUGGGGAGCAAACAGGAUUAGAUACCCCUGUAGUC
Molecule: ribosomal RNA, 443 nt
Filed under: uncultured bacterium
Lineage: Bacteria
Description: partial 16S ribosomal RNA
Rfam family: Bacterial small subunit ribosomal RNA
Source: RNAcentral